AGCAGCCAGAGGCGGAUGCAGCCAUGGAGGAGUUGUCCAAAGGCUGGAACGAAUGAAUGAUGCUGCGUGAGCAUGAUCCUUGGACGCAUGCGGCGGCCGGACCGGCCGGGAAAUAAUUGGGGAGAUUUGUUUCGGUUGCCGGGAUCUGGUGACCGAUACAGCCACCCAUGCAUGCCGCUCGCUCGGCUCCAAGUACCAAGCGGUACCGCACCAGUUUUAAUUAGGCUGAGGUCUGCCUGCCUGCUCCGGUGAAAAUCUCCUCCUGCCAGAACCCCCUCAUGCUUGCUGGUACCACUACUACCACGAGUAGUCACUCGCCUCUGCAGCAGGUUCUAUGCAACAAACACAAAGAUCUAAAGAUGAGAGGGAACAUUUUGCCCAGCAGGGCAACAGAGAUGCUAGUGCAUGAUACCACCUGCCUGGACCUGGCUCUCCCGUGCCCUCUUCCAUACGGUUUCGCGCCAAGGCAUGGCCGUUCCUUCUCGCUGAUAGCCGCGGCACUUUCAGAUGACCCUUGUGGAGUAAAUGUAAAUGAGGGUUGCUGACAACGUACCAUCAGGCGAAGAGCUGUGAAGAUGUGAUGGAUCUGCUCGCCGUGAUGUGAGCCUGGCAGCCCGGCACCAUUGCGAGACAAAGCAGGCAGCUGGACAGCAGGUAGCAAGGUAAGAAAACUCAAUUUGGUAAUCAAACCAUUUGAAAGGAACAACUUUUACAAAAGAAUAACUUUACAACAGGAAAAUCUGGUAAUCAACCAUUCGGUUACAGAUGUCCAUUCGGAGCUCCAAACUUUGAAAAGGAGACUGCAGUUAAAGAAAGGUUUACUAUUUACAGUUUGCGCGAAGCCUUUACAAGUUUUAAGGUCAC
This 864-nucleotide long non-coding RNA is filed under the name Setaria italica (foxtail millet). Its description in RNAcentral is "long non-coding RNA (SITA_LNC007418)". The record is from RNAcentral. Lineage: Eukaryota; Viridiplantae; Streptophyta; Magnoliopsida; Poales; Poaceae.